This 66-nucleotide transfer RNA is filed under the name Nephus voeltzkowi. RNAcentral describes it as "tRNA-Tyr". It matches the Rfam family "tRNA". From Rfam's summary of the family: Transfer RNA (tRNA) molecules are approximately 80 nucleotides in length. Their secondary structure includes four short double-helical elements and three loops (D, anti-codon, and T loops). Lineage: Eukaryota; Metazoa; Arthropoda; Insecta; Coleoptera; Coccinellidae. The record is from RNAcentral.
GAUGAAGUGGCUGAAUUAUAAGCGGUAAAUUGUAAAUUUAUUUAUGAAUUUUUAAUUCCUUCAUCA